GAUCAUGGCUCAGGAUGAACGCUGCGGCGUGCCUAACACAUGCAAGUCGAACGAAGCAUACGGACCGGAGAUUCGUCGAAGGACCGUAUGACUUAGUGGCGGACGGGUGAGUAAUGUAUGAGCAACCUGCCUUUCAGAGGGGGACAACAGUUGGAAACGACUGCUAAUACCGCGUAACGUAUCGUGGGGGCAUCCUCGUGAUACCAAAGGAGCAAUCCGCUGAAAGAUGGGCUCAUAUCUGAUUAGCUUGUUGGCGGGGUAACGGCCCACCAAGGCGACGAUCAGUAGCCGGACUGAGAGGUUGAACGGCCACAUUGGGACUGAGAUACGGCCCAGACUCCUACGGGAGGCAGCAGUGGGGAAUAUUGGGCAAUGGGCGAAAGCCUGAACCCCAGCAACGCCGCGUGAAGGAAGAAGGUCUUCGGAUUGUAAACUUCUUUUAUGAGGGACGAAGGACGUGACGGUACCUCAUGAAUAAGCCACGGCUAACUACGUGCCAGCAGCAGC
This 507-nucleotide ribosomal RNA is filed under the name uncultured bacterium. RNAcentral's name for it is "bacterial SSU rRNA". It matches the Rfam family "Bacterial small subunit ribosomal RNA", at positions 15 to 518 of the family's 1533-position model. The record is from RNAcentral.